UACAGAGGGUGCAAGCGUUAAUCGGAAUUACUGGGCGUAAAGCGCGUGUAGGCAGCUCGGAAAGUCGGGUGUGAAAUCCCUGGGCUCAACCUAGGAACUGCAUUCGAAACUGUCUUUCUGGAGUGAUGGAGAGGAAAGCGGAAUUCCCGGUGUAGAGGUGAAAUUCGUAGAUAUCGGGAGGAACACCAGUGGCGAAGGCGGCUUUCUGGCCAUCAACUGACGCUGAGACGCGAAAGCGUGGGGAGCAAACAGG
RNAcentral lists this ribosomal RNA (253 nucleotides) under uncultured bacterium. RNAcentral's name for it is "partial 16S ribosomal RNA". It matches the Rfam family "Bacterial small subunit ribosomal RNA", at positions 524 to 776 of the family's 1533-position model. The record is from RNAcentral.